CUGGGCCUGGUGGCGAUUGAGUGCUGCAGGAAAAGGCAAGCCUCUCGCCUCACCUGGCUGCGUGCGGGUGACGCCCCCACCAAGUUCUUCAUGGCCAAGAUCAGCUUGAAGAGGCGCAAGAACUUCAUCCAUGCUCUGAAGAUAGGUGGAAAUGUGGUGACGGUGCACGAAGACAAGGAGGAGGCCAUCCACGAACACUUCAGUAGCAUCUUGGGCACAUCCCAACACUGACCCAUGUCGAUCAACUGGACCCAGCUCCAAAUUCCAUUGGUGCAGGGAAGCGGGCUGGACAACCCAUUUUCGGAAGAAGAGGUCUGGGCUGCGAUUAAGGCCUUGCCAGCUGAGAAAUCUCCAGGGCCGGACGGCUUCUGUGGAGUGUUCUUCAGAUCAUGUUGGAGCAUUAUAAAGGAAGAUAUCAUGAAGGCAUUCCAUCAAUUCUACCACCUGGCUGGCCAGAAUCUUGGGGCACUGAACUCCGCAAUCAUCGCGCUCAUACCCAAGAAAGACGGAGCCGGCUGCAUUACCGACUAUAGAACGAUCAUCCUAAUCCAUUCAAUAGCUAAACUGAUUUCCAAGGUGCUCUCGAUCUGCCUCACAGCAGUAGUGCAGUCCAUCAUCUCCCAGCCCAGAUGGCUUUCCUGA
RNAcentral lists this ribosomal RNA (642 nucleotides) under Triticum aestivum (bread wheat). Its description in RNAcentral is "partial small subunit ribosomal RNA". The record is from RNAcentral. Lineage: Eukaryota; Viridiplantae; Streptophyta; Magnoliopsida; Poales; Poaceae.